AUUUCACGGUGUGGACAUUGUAUCAACGACUCUUUAACCCUCUAUCAAUCAUCAAGCUAAUGUUCAUUUUCCCAUUGUCUAAAUGAAGCAAUCUUAUUUCUUAAUUU
Vicia villosa (hairy vetch) is the source of this 107-nucleotide small nucleolar RNA. The record is from RefSeq and is a predicted model, not a curated record. NCBI's taxonomy places the organism in Eukaryota, Viridiplantae, Streptophyta, Magnoliopsida, Fabales, Fabaceae.